RNAcentral lists this ribosomal RNA (460 nucleotides) under uncultured bacterium. RNAcentral describes it as "partial 16S ribosomal RNA". It matches the Rfam family "Bacterial small subunit ribosomal RNA", at positions 338 to 795 of the family's 1533-position model. The record is from RNAcentral.
CCUACGGUGGGCAGCAGUGAGGAAUAUUGGUCAAUGGGCGCUAGCCUGAACCAGCCAAGUAGCGUGAAGGAUGACUGCCCUAUGGGUUGUAAACUUCUUUUAUAUGGGAAUAAAGUGCAGUAUGUAUACUGCUUUGCAUGUACCUUAUGAAUAAGGAUCGGCUAACUCCGUGCCAGCAGCCGCGGUAAUACGGAGUAUCCGAGCGUUAUCCGGAUUUAUUGGGUUUAAAGGGAGCGUAGAUGGGUUGUUAAGCCAGUUGUGAAAGUUUGGGGCUCAACCGUAAAAUUGCAAUUGAUACUGGCAGUCGUGAGUACAGUUGAGGUAAGCGGAAUUCGUGGUGUAGCGGUGAAAUGCGUAGAUAUCACGAAGAACCCUGAUUGCGAAGGCAGCUUACUGAACUGUGACUGACGUUGAGGCUCGAAAGUGUGGGGAGCAAACAGGAUUAGAUACCCUAGUAGUC